RNAcentral lists this ribosomal RNA (253 nucleotides) under uncultured bacterium. RNAcentral describes it as "partial 16S ribosomal RNA". It matches the Rfam family "Bacterial small subunit ribosomal RNA", at positions 524 to 776 of the family's 1533-position model. The record is from RNAcentral.
UACGUAGGGUGCGAGCGUUGUCCGGAAUUAUUGGGCGUAAAGAGCUCGUAGGCGGUCUGUCGCGUCGGAUGUGAAAAUCCAGGGCUCAACCCUGGACCUGCAUUCGAUACGGGCAGACUAGAGUUCGGCAGGGGAGACUGGAAUUCCUGGUGUAGCGGUGAAAUGCGCAGAUAUCAGGAGGAACACCGGUGGCGAAGGCGGGUCUCUGGGCCGAAACUGACGCUGAGGAGCGAAAGCGUGGGGAGCAAACAGG